AGUGAACGCUGGCGGUAGGCCUAACACAUGCAAGUCGAACGGCAGCACAGUAAGAGCUUGCUCUUACGGGUGGCGAGUGGCGGACGGGUGAGGAAUACAUCGGAAUCUACUUUUUCGUGGGGGAUAACGUAGGGAAACUUACGCUAAUACCGCAUACGACCUACGGGUGAAAGCAGGGGAUCUUCGGACCUUGCGCGAUUGAAUGAGCCGAUGUCGGAUUAGCUAGUUGGCGGGGUAAAGGCCCACCAAGGCGACGAUCCGUAGCUGGUCUGAGAGGAUGAACAGCCACACUGGAACUGAGACACGGUCCAGACUCCUACGGGAGGCAGCAGUGGGGAAUAUUGGACGAUGGGCGCAAGCCUGAUCCAGCCAUACCGCGUGGGUGAAGAAGGCCUUCGGGUUGUAAAGCCCUUUUGUUGGGAAAGAAAAGCAGCAGGUUAAUACCCCGCUGUUCUGACGGUACCCAAAGAAUAAGCACCGGCUAACUUCGUG
RNAcentral lists this ribosomal RNA (492 nucleotides) under uncultured bacterium. RNAcentral's name for it is "partial 16S ribosomal RNA". It matches the Rfam family "Bacterial small subunit ribosomal RNA", at positions 29 to 507 of the family's 1533-position model. The record is from RNAcentral.